Molecule: ribosomal RNA, 460 nt
Filed under: uncultured bacterium
Lineage: Bacteria
Description: partial 16S ribosomal RNA
Rfam family: Bacterial small subunit ribosomal RNA
Source: RNAcentral
CCUACGGGUGGCAGCAGUGAGGAAUAUUGGUCAAUGGUCGAGAGACUGAACCAGCCAAGCAGCGUGAAGGAUGACUGUCCUAAGGGUCGUAAACCUCUUUUAUAUGGGAACAAAACAGGGGAUGCAUACCCUCUUGUAUGUACCAUAUGAAUAAGGAUCGGCUAACUCCGUGCCAGCAGCCGCGGUAAUACGGAGGAUCCGAGCGUUAUCCGGAUUUAUUGGGUUUAAAGGGUGCGUAGGUGGAUUGUUAAGUCAGUUGUGAAAGUUUGCGGCUCAACCGUAGAAUUGCAGUUGAAACUGGCAGUCUUGAGUACGAGAGAGGUAGGCGGAAUUCGUGGUGUAGCGGUGAAAUGCUUAGAUAUCGCGAAGAACUCCGAUUGCGAAGGCAGCUCGCUGGACUGCAACUGACGCUGAUGCUCGAAAGUGUGGGUAUCGAACAGGAUUAGAUACCCGUGUAGUC